CUACGGGGCGCACCAGUGGGGAAUCUUAGACAAUGGGCGCAAGCCUGAUCUAGCCAUGCCGCGUGAGUGAUGAAGGCCUUAGGGUCGUAAAGCUCUUUCGCUGGGGAAGAUAAUGACGGUACCCAGUAAGGAAACCCCGGCUAACUCCGUGCCAGCAGCCGCGGUAAUACGGAGGGGGUUAGCGUUGUUCGGAAUUACUGGGCGUAAAGCGCGCGUAGGCGGACUGUUAAGUCGGGGGUGAAAUCCCGGGGCUCAACCCCGGAACGGCCUUCGAUACUGGCAGUCUGGAGUUCGAGAGAGGUGAGUGGAAUUCCGAGUGUAGAGGUGAAAUUCGUAGAUAUUCGGAGGAACACCAGUGGCGAAGGCGGCUCACUGGCUCGAUACUGACGCUGAGGUGCGAAAGUGUGGGGAGCAAACAGGAUUAGAUACCCUUGUAGUC
RNAcentral lists this ribosomal RNA (439 nucleotides) under uncultured bacterium. RNAcentral's name for it is "partial 16S ribosomal RNA". It matches the Rfam family "Bacterial small subunit ribosomal RNA", at positions 339 to 795 of the family's 1533-position model. The record is from RNAcentral.